UGACGAAGGCCUUCGGGUCGUAAAGCUCUGUUGUUAGGGAAGAACAAGUACCGUUCGAAUAGGGCGGUACCUUGACGGUACCUAACCAGAAAGCCACGGCUAACUACGUGCCAGCAGCCGCGGUAAUACGUAGGUGGCAAGCGUUGUCCGGAAUUAUUGGGCGUAAAGCGCGCGCAGGCGGUCUUUUAAGUCUGAUGUGAAAGCCCACGGCUCAACCGUGGAGGGUCAUUGGAAACUGGAGGACUUGAGUGCAGAAGAGGAGAGUGGAAUUCCACGUGUAGCGGUGAAAUGCGUAGAUAUGUGGAGGAACACCAGUGGCGAAGGCGGCUCUCUGGUCUGUAACUGACGCUGAGGCGCGAAAGCGUGGGGAGCAAACAGGAUUAGAUACCCUGGUAGUCCACGCCGUAAACGAUGAGUGCUAGGUGUUGGGGGGUUCCACCCUCAGUGCUGAAGUUAACACAUUAAGCACUCCGCCUGGGGAGUACGACCGCAAGGUUGAAACUCAAAGGAAUUGACGGGGGCCCGCACAAGCAGUGGAGCAUGUGGUUUAAUUCGAAGCAACGCGAAGAACCUUACCAGGUCUUGACAUCCUCUGACAAUCCUGGAGACAGGACGUUCCCCUUCGGGGGACAGAGUGACAGGUGGUGCAUGGUUGUCGUCAGCUCGUGUCGUGAGAUGUUGGGUUAAGUCCCGCAACGAGCGCAACCCUUGAUCUUAGUUGCCAGCAUUUAGUUGGGCACUCUAAGGUGACUGCCGGUGACAAACCGGAGGAAGG
RNAcentral lists this ribosomal RNA (775 nucleotides) under Bacillus sp. RP42. Its description in RNAcentral is "bacterial SSU rRNA". It matches the Rfam family "Bacterial small subunit ribosomal RNA", at positions 406 to 1173 of the family's 1533-position model. The record is from RNAcentral. Lineage: Bacteria; Bacillati; Bacillota; Bacilli; Caryophanales; Bacillaceae.